RNAcentral lists this long non-coding RNA (3615 nucleotides) under Pan troglodytes (chimpanzee). RNAcentral's name for it is "long non-coding RNA NONPTRT012274". The record is from RNAcentral. Lineage: Eukaryota; Metazoa; Chordata; Mammalia; Primates; Hominidae.
CCUGGGACCCUGGCCCUCGCCGGGCAGGACGCCGCCAGCGCUGAAGGCGCAGCCCGGAGGCCGCGCGGGUAUGAAACAGCAACAGGGCAAGAGGAGGAAACCAUGCCACGCUGCAAAGCUCUGAGCACGAAGCCGAGAAGAAUCUCGGCUCCCGGCCUCGGGGGCUGCGCUUCGGGCCAGGCCUGCACUCCCAGGAUGCGAGGAUGGCCCCCUGCCCCAGGGGUGGCAUGGGGGCGCGCAAAAAGCAAAGGUGACCCUGCCAGGGAGCACCCAGCGCUCCGGUUGGUGGUCAUGGGGUCUUUGCGUGGGACUCACAGUGUGGCCGGGAAAGUUCUGUAAUGAGGACAUUUCUCAUCAUUCCUUCUUCUCAAAAGUCAUUCGUCAGCCCCAGACACCUUUGCCUCGGAAAACUGGGAACUACUUUCAACAUCGUCAACACCCCCAUCUCCUGCUACAGAGCGGAGUCCCCACUUUGCAGAGGCGCACUGCAAGGUCGCGGGUGGUUAAAUGGUGCGCCCUCCUUGAUGAAGAUGCCUUGUUCUCUUUCACUCUCUUUAUGUGUGUUUAAUGUUGUGUGUUGCGUUCUCUGUGAAGCGAAGGAUAAACACGGGCCCUUUCAGGCAACGGAAGGAAGAAGGCGGCCAGCAUCAGAUCUUCCCGUGCUUCAAGGUGGAGCACCCUGCAGGGCUUACUGCAGCGCUCAGGGUCAAAGUGAGGAUGCAGUGCGGCACCAAAAGGCAAAUGUACCCUGGAGAGCCACUCUCACCUUGUACCCCUGGAGUAGACCCCGAGGACUGGAGGACUGGAACAAGAUCUUAGUCCUGAGGGUGGGAGAAGCAGCCUUUGGUGGCUGCACAGGGGCCCGGCUUUUCCCGAAGUCUUAAAGCCUGCUCCAAAUGCCAGAUUCAGACAAAGGGGCCGAACCUUGGGCCCGCCGCCUUCUCCCAUAAGCCGCAACCCAGCAGCUUUGCUAGGAAGUUUACAUGUGAAGGUAGGGACCUUUCUUGGAAUGAGCCACACCUGAUGGCCCUGCCACUCCUGAUGGCCCUGCCACUCCGGACGGCGCUCGUUCACUGCUGUCCCUGGAGCAGACACGGUUCUGCGCACACACCUGGGCGCCGGAGAAACAGGGCACCCAAAGCGGGCCCAGGCCCUCGGACUCAGCGAGCUGGACACGUGUCCCCAUCACCCGCGGCUGGCGGGAGCAGUGUUUCUACUCCCUUCCCUCCCCUCCUCCCGCCCCGCAGAUGUGCUGUCUCUCCCGGCCUCCCCCCGCGCCCAGCACAGUGGUUUCUGCUUGGCUGUUCCCCUGUCUCUGAGAUGGUCUCUCCCUGCUGCUUGCCCUACACAUUCUCCCACACACGCGCGCGGGAUGCCCCUGUCGGCGUGGUUGUCAAUGCCUGCUCCCCUGCCCCCCAGUCCAAUCUCCACGACUCUGGGCCCUGUCGCUUCAUUCUAAAGCCUUCCGCUCACGAGCCCUCCCGACGACCGACCCCCAGGAGGCUACUGGAGAUGCAGGAUUUGGACCCGUGCCGGACCCGCACCCGGACAGAUCCCUCUGAAUGAAUGAAUGAAUUAAUGAGCAGGCUGCAUCCUGAUUAGGUUAAGGUGGGUGGUUGCCAUGCUUGGCGUUGGCUCUGUCCCCUGGGAUAAAAGGCGAGAGGCAGCCACAUGGACAGCUCCUCCAGUGGGGUCUCAGACUGGAGAGACGCCAGCGGGCGGGGGUCGUUCCCUGGAGCUCCCGCAUUUGUUAUGGUCGAUGCCCCACUACGUUGUCACCUUCUCCGGAGGACCUCCUGCUCUGUCCUUGACAGAUGGGCCCCAGUGGGCCCACCCAGGCUGGAGAUGAAUCUCAAAGGGACUCCAUGCCUGGGAGACCUCAGCCAAGCAGGGCAGAGAAAUAAUCAGACAACAGUCAGUGCAUGGCGCCUGCAGAGUUUUGCACAGGGUCCUUCAGAAGGAGGGUUAGGGAAGACUUCUUGGGGGUUAGGGCAGUUAAGCAAAAUGGAUAAAGAAAGCAACCACUUAUGUCUGCAUAUUUUCUUCAUUUCAUCUUCACAACAGCCCUGAGAUAGGUACUUGUUUUACAGCUGAGGUAUAAAUUGGGGUUCAGAGAGAUUGAGUGCUUUCACCAUGAACAAGUGACAGACAGCAAUGACUUGAACCGCGUUACCUGAUGCCACCGCUGGUCUUAACCUCCAUGUUAUUAGCGUAUUGGGUAAGUGAAACCGUGUGAGCCAAGCAGCUGGGGUGAGAAACAGCACGGAGUAGAGGAGAGGGCUGCAGAAAGGCGUGAUGUUUCUGGAGCACCGAAUUCUACUCACGAACACAGGAGUGGAGGCGGGAAGGGGACACUGGAAGCCACGGAGGGCCUUGUCAGCCACAGUAAGGAAUGUGGACCUGGUCCUCAGGGUGGUGAGGGGAUGGCCCCCCAUCCAGAGGUUUCUCACAGGGGAGUGAUUCAGCCUGUCUCUGCCGCAGUCAGGAGGAAGGAUGCAAUGAGAGAGGGAAAGUGGAGAGGCGGAUGGCGGUGCAAUCUACUCCAGGUCAUGCUUCUUACCAUCUCCCUCAUUAUUCAUCCACAGAAAAUGAUUGCUGUUAUAUGACACACUGGUUAACAAAGGAGGGGGCUGUUUGCAGACAGAAACAACCAACCCAGGGCCUCCAGCCAUCCAAAGAUUCUGCACAGCCAGCCACCCCUAAGGCUAAGAAAUCCCAGGUACAUGCACACCAGUCACAGCAUACCUGGACUCAGACAAUGACAGUGGAGAAUGAGGAACAAGAGCUGGGUUCAAGGAAUAAUUAGCAAGCAACGUUGGCAUUAUGUAGUGCAGGGACAAAGGAGGAGGGAGAUAGCCCGUGGGAUUCUGGACUAAAUUGGGCAAAUGGUAUGACAUGGUUAGGCUUUUGUGUCCCCGCCCCAAUCUCAUCUUGAAUUGUAAUACCCAAGUGUUGAGGGAAAGACCCGGUGGGAGAGGAUCGGAUCAUGGGGCGGUUUCCCCCACGCUGUUCUUCUGAUAGUUAGGGAGUUCUCAUGAGAUCUGAUGGUUCCAUAAGCGUCCGUCAUUUCCUCCACCCACACUCUCUCUUGCCACCUUGUGAAGAGGUGCCUGCUUCCCCUUCCGCUAUGACUGUAAGUUUCCUGAAACCUCCCCAGCAAUGUAGAACUGUGAGUCAAUGAAACCUCUUUUAUUUAGAAAUUGCCCAGUCUUGGGCAGUUCUUUAUAGCAGUGUGAGAAUAGAUUAACACAGUAAAUUGGUACCAAGAGUUUGAGACACUAAUACAUGGUAGUUCCCUGAUUGCUGUAGGGAGCAUGGGGACAGGGCUCGUUCCAGGGAAGGUGAUGAGUUCUUUUGGGCUGCCCUGUGUUUGAAGUAGGUACAGAAGCCUAAUGGGCAGUGGAGCAGGGCAGUGGAGUCAAACAGACCGGGUCCAUCUUCCAGCUUCACCAACUUAUUAGUUCCGUUACCUUUUGCAAAAAGCCUGUUCAUUUGUCUGUAAGACAGGGAUAAGAAUAGGUUUAUAGAGGCUGAGGUGGGAGGAUUGCUAGAGCCUGGGAGGCAGAGGUUGCAAUGAGCUGAGAUCAUGCCACUGCGCUCCAGCCUGGGUGACAG